This 238-nucleotide ribosomal RNA is filed under the name uncultured bacterium. RNAcentral's name for it is "partial 16S ribosomal RNA". It matches the Rfam family "Bacterial small subunit ribosomal RNA", at positions 99 to 334 of the family's 1533-position model. The record is from RNAcentral.
CGCACGGGUGAGUAACACGUAUGCAAUCCACCUGUAACAGGGGGAUAACCCGGAGAAAUCCGGACUAAUACCCCAUAAUAUGGGCGCUCCGCAUGGAGAGCCCAUUAAAGAGAGCAAUUUUGGUUACAGACGAGCAUGCGCUCCAUUAGCAGUUGGCGGGGUAACGGCCCACCAAAGCGACGAUGGAUAGGGGUUCUGAGAGGAAGGUCCCCCACAUUGGAACUGAGACACGGUCCAA